ACCCCUUGAUAUGCUUCCAGAUUAUUUUCAUUAUAUGGAUCAUUCAGAACACCGCUUUUAAAAUCUUUUCUCAAAAAUUUUGGAUAUGAAAACAGAAGACCAUCUGAAGAAAUUUGAGAAGCUGGCUCGUGUUCAUUUAUCGUUCUAAAUAUGCAUGAAAUAUUUGCCACUGGACGUUAAGCAACCAACAAUAAUCUAGACUGGGUUGAUGCAGUCAUGAUUUGUCAACUUUGCAAUAGCAAAUAUAUUGAUGUUUGUAAAAGUCACACCAACUGAAAAGGAAUAUUCAUUAAUAUAGAUAGCAUAUGUUUUGCUCAACUAUCGAUAGCAAAGUUUUGAAAAUUCUUAUUUUAUUUUUUUCUCUAUUUUACUGAUAAAUGGAC
Molecule: long non-coding RNA, 383 nt
Filed under: Mytilus galloprovincialis (Mediterranean mussel)
Lineage: Eukaryota; Metazoa; Mollusca; Bivalvia; Mytilida; Mytilidae
Source: RNAcentral